This 910-nucleotide ribosomal RNA is filed under the name uncultured bacterium. RNAcentral describes it as "bacterial SSU rRNA". It matches the Rfam family "Bacterial small subunit ribosomal RNA", at positions 33 to 939 of the family's 1533-position model. The record is from RNAcentral.
ACGCUGGCGGCAGGCUUAACACAUGCAAGUCGAACGAUGAUUACUAGCUUGCUAGUAUGAUUAGUGGCGAACGGGUGAGUAAUGCUUAGGAAUCUACCUAUUAGUGGGGGACAACAUUCCGAAAGGAAUGCUAAUACCGCAUACGUCCUAUGGGGGAAAGCAGGGGAUCGCAAGACCUUGUGCUAAUAGAUGAGCCUAAGUCGGAUUAGCUAGUUGGUGGGGUAAAGGCCUACCAAGGCGACGAUCUGUAGCUGGUCUGAGAGGAUGAUCAGCCACACUGGGACUGAGACACGGCCCAGACUCCUACGGGAGGCAGCAGUGGGGAAUAUUGGACAAUGGGCGAAAGCCUGAUCCAGCCAUGCCGCGUGUGUGAAGAAGGCCUUUUGGUUGUAAAGCACUUUAAGUGGGGAGGAAAAGUUGACGGUUAAUACCCGCCAGCCCUGACGUUACCCACAGAAUAAGCACCGGCUAACUCUGUGCCAGCAGCCGCGGUAAUACAGAGGGUGCAAGCGUUAAUCGGAAUUACUGGGCGUAAAGCGAGCGUAGGUGGUCAUUUAAGUCAGAUGUGAAAUCCCCGGGCUUAACCUGGGAACCGCAUCUGAUACUGGGUGACUAGAGUAGGUGAGAGGGAAGUAGAAUUCCAGGUGUAGCGGUGAAAUGCGUAGAGAUCUGGAGGAAUACCGAUGGCGAAGGCAGCUUCCUGGCAUCAUACUGACACUGAGGUUCGAAAGCGUGGGUAGCAAACAGGAUUAGAUACCCUGGUAGUCCACGCCGUAAACGAUGUCUACCAGUCGUUGGGUCUCUUGAAGACUUAGUGACGCAGUUAACGCAAUAAGUAGACCGCCUGGGGAGUACGGCCGCAAGGUUAAAACUCAAAUGAAUUGACGGGGCCCGCACAAGCGGUGGAGCA